This 253-nucleotide ribosomal RNA is filed under the name uncultured bacterium. RNAcentral's name for it is "partial 16S ribosomal RNA". It matches the Rfam family "Bacterial small subunit ribosomal RNA", at positions 524 to 776 of the family's 1533-position model. The record is from RNAcentral.
UACGGAGGGGGCUAUCGUUGUUCGGAAUUACUGGGCGUAAAGCGCGCGUAGGCGGACCUGCAAGUCGGGGGUGAAAGCCCGAGGCUCAACCUCGGAACUGCCUUCGAUACUGCGGGUCUCGAGUCCGAGAGAGGUGAGUGGAAUUCCUAGUGUAGAGGUGAAAUUCGUAGAUAUUAGGAAGAACACCAGUGGCGAAGGCGGCUCACUGGCUCGGUACUGACGCUGAGGCGCGAAAGCGUGGGGGGCAAACAGG